AACGCUAGCUACAGGCUUAACACAUGCAAGUCGAGGGGCAGCGCAGUGUAGCAAUACAUGGGCGGCGACCGGCGCACGGGUGCGUAACGCGUAUCCAACCUUCCCGUUACUCUUGGAUAGCCUUCCGAAAGGGAGAUUAAUACAAGAUGGUGUUGAAAUUCCGCAUGUUAUUUCAGCUAAAGAUUUAUCGGUAACGGAUGGGGAUGCGUUCCAUUAGCUUGUUGGCGGGGUAACGGCCCACCAAGGCUUCGAUGGAUAGGGGUUCUGAGAGGAAGGUCCCCCACACUGGAACUGAGACACGGUCCAGACUCCUACGGGAGGCAGCAGUGAGGAAUAUUGGUCAAUGGUCGGAAGACUGAACCAGCCAAGUAGCGUGAAGGAUGAAGGUUCUAUGGGUUGUAAACUUCUUUUAUAUGGGAAUAAAGUGAUCCACGUGUGGAUUUUUGUAUGUACCAUAUGAAUAAGGAUCGGCUAACUCCGUGCCAGCAGCCGCGGUAAUACGGAGGAUCCGAGCGUUAUCCGGAUUUAUUGGGUUUAAAGGGUGCGUAGGCGGAGUAUUAAGUCAGCUGUGAAAGUUUGGGGCUCAACAUUAAAAUUGCAGUUGAUACUGGUAUUCUUGAGUAUAGUGGAAGUUAGCGGAAUUCGUGGUGUAGCGGUGAAAUGCUUAGAUAUCACGAAGAACUCCGAUUG
This 690-nucleotide ribosomal RNA is filed under the name uncultured bacterium. RNAcentral's name for it is "bacterial SSU rRNA". It matches the Rfam family "Bacterial small subunit ribosomal RNA", at positions 32 to 715 of the family's 1533-position model. The record is from RNAcentral.